CCUACGGGGUGCAGCAGUGAGGAAUAUUGGUCAAUGGUCGGGAGACUGAACCAGCCAAGCCGCGUGAGGGAUGAAGGUACAGAGUAUCGUAAACCUCUUUUGUCAGGGAACAAAGGCGGGGACGUGUCCCCGGAUGCGUGUACCUGAAGAAAAGGCAUCGGCUAACUACGUGCCAGCAGCCGCGGUAAUACGGAGGAUGCGAGCGUUAUCCGUAUUUAUUGGGUUUAAAGGGUGCGCAGGUGGUCUGUUAAGUCAGCGGUAAAAGCCCGGGGCUAAACCCCGGCCCGACGUUGAAACUGGCAGUCUCGAGUUGGAGAGAAGUAUGCGGAAUGCGCGGUGUAGCGGUGAAAUGCAUAGAUAUCGCGCAGAACUCCGAUUGCGAAGGCAGCAUGCCGGCUCCACACUGACGCUGAGGCACGAAAGCGUGGGUAUCGAACAGGAUUAGAUACCCCUGUAGUC
This 459-nucleotide ribosomal RNA is filed under the name uncultured bacterium. RNAcentral describes it as "partial 16S ribosomal RNA". It matches the Rfam family "Bacterial small subunit ribosomal RNA", at positions 338 to 795 of the family's 1533-position model. The record is from RNAcentral.